UUUGAACUCUGUUAUGCAUAAGCAUAGAACGGAUCAGUCAAGGACUAUUUGAAGGCUAUAGGUUCUGCUCCUUGAAGUGCUGUUUUAUUCAUUUAUUUUAUUUUUUGGUACAUCAGAAAUUCUUAAGGGAAGUGCAUAUAUUAUUACUUUGGCAUAUGUUUUUCUGUGCUUUAAAAAAAAUUCUUACAAUGCUUUUCUUAUAUCUGAUUUUCUGGAACGGGAAGAGUUAGGAUUGGUGUCGUCUUGUUUGCUCUGAAUUUCAUGUUUGCCAUCCUUUUGUUG
This 282-nucleotide unclassified non-coding RNA is filed under the name Hevea brasiliensis (rubber tree). The record is from RNAcentral. Lineage: Eukaryota; Viridiplantae; Streptophyta; Magnoliopsida; Malpighiales; Euphorbiaceae.